AUGAACGCUAGCGGCAGGCUUAACACAUGCAAGUGGAGGGGUAUAAGUUUUCGGAUUUAGAGACCGGCGCACGGGUGCGUAACGUGUAUGCAAUCUACCUUUUACAGAGGGAUAGCCCAGAGAAAUUUGGAUUAAUACCUCAUAGCAUUAUGAAAUGGCAUCAUUUUAUAAUUAAAGUCACAAUGGUAAAAGAUGAGCAUGCGUCCCAUUAGCUAGUUGGUAAGGUAACGGCUUACCAAGGAUACGAUGGGUAGGGG
RNAcentral lists this ribosomal RNA (257 nucleotides) under Flavobacterium sp. ISO74_OTU5152. RNAcentral describes it as "partial 16S ribosomal RNA". It matches the Rfam family "Bacterial small subunit ribosomal RNA", at positions 29 to 289 of the family's 1533-position model. The record is from RNAcentral. Lineage: Bacteria; Pseudomonadati; Bacteroidota; Flavobacteriia; Flavobacteriales; Flavobacteriaceae.